This is a long non-coding RNA of Esox lucius (northern pike), 1250 nucleotides long. The record is from Ensembl. NCBI's taxonomy places the organism in Eukaryota, Metazoa, Chordata, Actinopteri, Esociformes, Esocidae.
CAAUUUGCUACUUGUAUAAAAGACAAAAUUGUAAAAGUAAUUUUUUUAUAAAGAAAAAUAGAUUAAAUGUGUUUCUUUCUGUCUACACUCCGUAGCCAGAUUAUUUGCUACACCCAUUUGCCUCCAGAUCAGCAUGACUUAUUGGGGUAUGGAAUUUUCUGUUUCCAGAAACAUUCAACAGGGAUAUUUUUCCUUCCAGACACGUUGGCAUCAGAAGGUCGCCACGCAUUAAGUGGCAGUAUAUUCAUGCUGCAAGUAACAUUUCUAUUUCAUUCCAAAUAUGCUCUAUUGGGCUGAGGUCUGGGGACUGUUCUGGCUACACAAGUAAACAGAACUCGCUGUCAUGUUCCUGGAACCAUUCUCAGAAAAUACCUGCACGGCGCAUUAUCCUGCUGGAAGGAUCCCUCUGACAGACUGUAGCCAUGAAGGGAUGCACCUGGCCAGUAACAAUGUUCAUGGACGCUGUGGUGUUUGAAUGUUACGCAGUUGGUAUCAAGGGACUGAACGUGUGGAAAACAUUACCCACACCAUUACAUCACCACCACCAGCCUGUGCUGUGGACUCCAGGCAGGAUAGAUCUAUGGACUCAAGCUGCUUGUGCCAAAUCCUGACCCCACCAUCUGCAUAAAGCAGCUGGAACCUGGAGUUGUUUUUCAGUUGUACAUAGUUGCUUAUCCCUUGCCUACUGGAGUGCUUCUACAUACUUUUUUUUUUUUUAGCUGAUAGGAGUUUAGCUUGAUGUGGUCGUCCUUUGCAACAGCCCAUCUGUGACACCGAGCGAUGAAUUGUGUGUUCCGACAUGCUGUUCUGCACGCUGCUUUGGUACUGUGGUGUUAUUAUUGCACUGGGUUGUGGCCUGCUGUUAGUUUAAAUGAUUCUUGCCAUUCUUCUUAGACCUCUGUCAUCAGUGAGCCAUUUAGCUCACAGGACUGCCACUGACUGGAUGCACUGUUUGACCGUGUUCAGGAAGGUGGCCAUUUCAUCCCUCCAAAAAAUCACUGAUAGUUUUGUUCAUUCCUAUGUUCAAACCAUAACUGGUGCCUCAGACCUUUUGGUGCUUGUGGGGGUGUACCGAAUAAACUGGCUACUUAGUGAAUGUGGUAGUAAUGAGUGUAGAUCUGUUUUCCCUCCCCUUUUCUUUUACAAAGUCCCCCUAUGUCAUGUCUUUUUGUUGAUAAUAAAACAUUGACUUAUUUCUGAAACGUGUCUGUGCCUGUGGUUUUGGUAGGAUACUUUGACAUCAGUGGUUC